Molecule: ribosomal RNA, 277 nt
Filed under: uncultured Ascomycota
Lineage: Eukaryota; Fungi; Ascomycota
Description: partial 18S ribosomal RNA
Rfam family: Eukaryotic small subunit ribosomal RNA
Source: RNAcentral
UUGGAGGGCAAGUCUGGUGCCAGCAGCCGCGGUAAUUCCAGCUCCAAUAGCGUAUAUUAAAGUUGUUGUGGUUAAAAACGCUCGUAGUUGAACCUUGGGCCUGGCUGGCCGGUCCGCCUCACCGCGUGUACUGGUCCGGCCGGGCCUUUCCCUCUGUGGAACCCCAUGCCCUUCACUGGGUGUGGCGGGGAAACAGGACUUUUACNGUGAAAAAUUAGAGUGCUCCAGGCAGGCCUAUGCUCGAAUACAUUAGCAUGGAAUAAUAGAAUAGGACGUG